UCCGGUUUGGCACCGGCAGUCUUCCUAGAGUCCCCGACAUAACUCGCUGGCAACUAGGGACGGGGGUUGCGCUCGUUGCGGGACUUAACCCAACAUCUCACGGCACGAGCUGACGACAGCCAUGCACCACCUGUGCACAGGCCCCGAAGGGCUGCCGUAUUUCUACGACAUUCCUGUGCAUGUCAAGCCUCGGUAAGGUUCUACGCGUAGCGUCAUAUUAAACCACAUCCUCCUCUGCUUGUGCGGGUCCCCGUCAAUUCCUUUGAGUUUUAGCCUUGCGGCCGUACUUCCCAGGCGGCAUACUUAUCGCGUUAGCUUCGACGCACAGGGGGUCGAUACCCCAUACGUAUAGUAUGCAUCGUUUACGGCGUGGACUAC
Molecule: unclassified non-coding RNA, 378 nt
Filed under: uncultured bacterium
Lineage: Bacteria
Description: contains 16S-23S intergenic spacer region
Source: RNAcentral